UCUCCGUAGGUGAACCUGCGGAGGGAUCAUUACUGAGUGAGGGCUUCGGUCCGACCUCCAACCCUUUGUGAACACAUCUUGUUGCUUCGGGGGCGACCCUGCCGCUUCGGCGGUGCGGCGCCCCCGGAGGCCUUCAAACACUGCAUCUUUGCGUCGGAGUUUAAGUAAAUUAAACAAAACUUUCAACAACGGAUCUCUUGGUUCUGGCAUCGAUGAAGAACGCAGC
This 226-nucleotide unclassified non-coding RNA is filed under the name uncultured fungus. Its description in RNAcentral is "sequence contains ITS1, 5.8S rRNA gene". The stretch from base 178 to 226 matches the Rfam family "5.8S ribosomal RNA", at positions 1 to 49 of the family's 154-position model. The record is from RNAcentral. Lineage: Eukaryota; Fungi.